Molecule: ribosomal RNA, 253 nt
Filed under: uncultured bacterium
Lineage: Bacteria
Description: partial 16S ribosomal RNA
Rfam family: Bacterial small subunit ribosomal RNA
Source: RNAcentral
UACGUAGGGUGCGAGCGUUGUCCGGAAUUAUUGGGCGUAAAGGGCUCGUAGGCGGUUUGUCGCGUCGGGAGUGAAAACUCAGGGCUUAACCCUGAGCCUGCUUCUGAUACGGGCAGACUAGAGGUAUGCAGGGGAGAACGGAAUUCCUGGUGUAGCGGUGAAAUGCGCAGAUAUCAGGAGGAACACCGGUGGCGAAGGCGGUUCUCUGGGCAUUACCUGACGCUGAGGAGCGAAAGUGUGGGGAGCGAACAGG